Molecule: ribosomal RNA, 478 nt
Filed under: uncultured bacterium
Lineage: Bacteria
Description: partial 16S ribosomal RNA
Rfam family: Bacterial small subunit ribosomal RNA
Source: RNAcentral
GAUGAACGCUGGCGGCGUGCUUAACACAUGCAAGUCGAACGGGAAACCUUUUAAUGAAGCUUCGGCAGAUUUAGCUGGUUUCUAGUGGCGGACGGGUGAGUAACGCGUGGGUAACCUGCCUUAUACAGUGGGAUAACAGUCAGAAAUGACUGCUAAUACCGCAUAAGCGCACAGGACCGCAUGGUCCGGUGUGAAAAACUCCGGUGGUAUAAGAUGGACCCGCGUUGGAUUAGCUUGUUGGUGGGGUAACGGCUCACCAAGGCGACGAUCCAUAGCCGGCCUGAGAGGGUGAACGGCCACAUUGGGACUGAGACACGGCCCAGACUCCUACGGGAAGCAGCAGUGGGGAAUAUUGCACAAUGGGGGAAACCCUGAUGCAGCGACGCCGCGUGAAGGAAGAAGUAUCUCGGUAUGUAAACUUCUAUCAGCAGGGAAGAUAGUGACGGUACCUGACUAAGAAGCCCCGGCUAACUACGUG